CAUCCUGUGCAACCGCACGAAAAUCGUAUAUAAGUAGAUAACUAUCUCACGAUAACUGGCGAGUCUUCACAGAGGG
Molecule: non-coding RNA, 76 nt
Organism: Streptococcus uberis
Lineage: Bacteria; Bacillati; Bacillota; Bacilli; Lactobacillales; Streptococcaceae
Source: Rfam